Molecule: ribosomal RNA, 896 nt
Filed under: uncultured bacterium
Lineage: Bacteria
Description: bacterial SSU rRNA
Rfam family: Bacterial small subunit ribosomal RNA
Source: RNAcentral
AGAGUUUGAUCAUGGCUCAGGAUGAACGCUAGCUACAGGCUUAACACAUGCAAGUCGAACGGAGUAGCAAUACUCAGUGGCAAACGGGUGAGUAACACGUAUCCAACCUAACCUCUACUCGGGUAUAGCCUUUCGAAAGGAAGAGUAAUCCCUGAUGUUAUAUGUGAUUCACAUGCAUUGCAUAUCAAAGAUUUAUCGGUAGAGGGUGGGGAUGCGUUCCAUUAGAUAGUCGGCGGGGUACCGGCCCACCGAGUCGAUGAUGGAUAGGGGUUCUGAGAGGAAGGUCCCCCACAUUGGAACUGCGACACGGUCCAAACUCCUACGGGAGGCAGCAGUGAGGAAUAUUGGUCAAUGGCCGAAAGGCUGAACCAGCCAAGUAGCGUGAAGGAUGACGGCCCUAUGGGUUGUAAACUUCUUUUUUAUGGGAAUAACGGUAUCCACGUGUGGUUGCCUGCAUGUACCAUAAGAAUAAGGAUCGGCUAACUCCGUGCCAGCAGCCGCGGUAAUACGGAGGAUCCGAGCGUUAUCCGGAUUUAUUGGGUUUAAAGGGAGCGUAGGCGGGAUACCAAGUCAGCUGUGAAAUGUAGAUGCUCAACAUCUGCACUGCAGUUGAAACUGGUGUUCUUGAGUGCGUAAGAGGUAGGCGGAAUUCGUCGUGUAGCGGUGAAAUGCAUAGAUAUGACGAAGAACUCCGAUUGCGAAGGCAGCUUACUGGGCCGCAACUGACGCUGAAGCUCGAAGGUGCGGGUAUCAAACAGGAUUAGAUACCCUGGUAGUCCGCACAGUAAACGAUGGAUACUCGCUGUCGGCGAUAUACAGUCGGUAGCCAAGCGAAAGCAUUAAGUAUCCCACCUGGGGAGUACGCCGGCAACGGUGAAACUCAAAUGAAUUGACGG